This 77-nucleotide transfer RNA is filed under the name Alphaproteobacteria bacterium. Its description in RNAcentral is "tRNA-Arg". It matches the Rfam family "tRNA". Rfam says of the family: Transfer RNA (tRNA) molecules are approximately 80 nucleotides in length. The record is from RNAcentral. Lineage: Bacteria; Pseudomonadati; Pseudomonadota; Alphaproteobacteria.
GUGCCCGUAGCUCAACUGGAUAGAGCGUCUGACUACGAAUCAGGAGGUUGGGGGUUCGAGUCCCUCCGGGCGCACCA